RNAcentral lists this ribosomal RNA (402 nucleotides) under uncultured bacterium. RNAcentral's name for it is "bacterial SSU rRNA". It matches the Rfam family "Bacterial small subunit ribosomal RNA", at positions 355 to 774 of the family's 1533-position model. The record is from RNAcentral.
UGGGGAAUCUUGCGCAAUGGGCGAAAGCCUGACGCAGCCAUGCCGCGUGGAUGAUGAAGGUCUUAGGAUUGUAAAAUCCUUUCAGCGGGGACGAUAAUGACGGUACCCGCAGAAGAAGCCCCGGCUAACUUCGUGCCAGCAGCCGCGGUAAUACGAAGGGGGCUAGCGUUGCUCGGAAUUACUGGGCGUAAAGGGCGCGUAGGCGGACAAUUAAGUCGGGGGUGAAAGCCCGGGGCUCAGCCUCGGAAUUGCCUUCGAUACUGGAUGUCUUGAGUACGGGAGAGGUGAGUGGAACUCCGAGUGUAGAGGUGAAAUUCGUAGAUAUUCGGAAGAACACCAGUGGCGAAGGCGACUCACUGGCCCGUUACUGACGCUGGGGCGCGAAAGCGUGGGGAGCAAACA